RNAcentral lists this ribosomal RNA (301 nucleotides) under uncultured bacterium. RNAcentral describes it as "partial 16S ribosomal RNA". It matches the Rfam family "Bacterial small subunit ribosomal RNA", at positions 509 to 807 of the family's 1533-position model. The record is from RNAcentral.
CAGUCGCCACGGUAAUACGUAGGUGGCAAGCGUUGUCCGGAAUUAUUGGGCGUAAAGCGCGCGCAGGUGGUUUAGUAAGUCUGAUGUGAAAGCCCACGGCUCAACCGUGGAGGGUCAUUGGAAACUGUUAAACUUGAGUGCAGGAGAGAAAAGUGGAAUUCCUAGUGUAGCGGUGAAAUGCGUAGAGAUUAGGAGGAACACCAGUGGCGAAGGCGGCUUUUUGGCCUGUAACUGACACCGAGGCGCGAAAGCGUGGGGAGCAAACAGGAUUAGAUACCCCCGUAGUCCCUGUCUCUUAUAC